ACUCCUACGGGAGGCAGCAGUGGGGAAUAUUGCACAAUGGGGGAAACCCUGAUGCAGCCAUGCCGCGUGUGUGAAGAAGGCCUUCGGGUUGUAAAGCACUUUCAGUAGGGAGGAAGGUAGUGUAGUUAACACCUGCAUUAUUUGACGUUACCUACAGAAGAAGCACCGGCUAACUCCGUGCCAGCAGCCGCGGUAAUACGGAGGGUGCGAGCGUUAAUCGGAAUUACUGGGCGUAAAGCGCAUGCAGGCGGCCUGUUAAGUCAGAUGUGAAAGCCCGGGGCUUAACCUCGGAAUUGCAUUUGAAACUGGCAGGCUAGAGUCUUGUAGAGGGGGGUAGAAUUUCAGGUGUAGCGGUGAAAUGCGUAGAGAUCUGAAGGAAUACCAGUGGCGAAGGCGGCCCCCUGGACAAAGACUGACGCUCAGAUGCGAAAGCGUGGGGAGCAAAC
This 446-nucleotide ribosomal RNA is filed under the name uncultured bacterium. RNAcentral's name for it is "bacterial SSU rRNA". It matches the Rfam family "Bacterial small subunit ribosomal RNA", at positions 335 to 773 of the family's 1533-position model. The record is from RNAcentral.